This 1190-nucleotide long non-coding RNA is filed under the name Cercocebus atys (sooty mangabey). Its description in RNAcentral is "lncRNA (ENSCATG00000045580.1)". Lineage: Eukaryota; Metazoa; Chordata; Mammalia; Primates; Cercopithecidae. The record is from RNAcentral.
UGCGGUGCCCGGCGCGGCGGAGGGACCCGGGCCGUGUUAUCUGCGCACUGAGACGUCGGCGGAAGGCUAGAGGCCGUGCUCUCGUCCGCGGAGAAGGCCACCACUCCUCGAGCAGGCUGGAGGGACAAAGCCUCUGGCCCGCGCCGGGGGCAUUCAAGAAGGAAGCCAGGCCUGACCGGGGGGUGGCGCACGCUUCCCGAACCCCAGGCCCAACGCCCCGGUUCCGCGCGGGCAGUUGGCGCCCCUCGGGUCGGCGCCCCCUCGGGUGGGCGCGGCAAGCCUUUUAGGAAUGGGCCCCAGGGAGUGUGACCGGGUCCCUGCCAAUCUUUUGAAGUUCAGAGAUCCACCGUCGAACGAAGCCUCUUUUUCCAACUUCACCAUUUCGCCUCUUUCCUUAACCCGCGCUGGCUAAAGCGCUGAGCCUUGCCAUCCUCUUUGAGUGCUUAACGAUUUGCCCUGCCUUGGACAGCCAGUCCUCUUCAGGUGGUGGGCUGCUGGUAGGGGUAGGAAGCAAGGCCUGGGGCAUCGUUGGGGACCCUCACACCUGAUUUUCUAUUUUAAGGAGCAACUGGGUUUCACGAAGUUGGAGGGUCAGUGGGAGUUUUGUGGCCCUUGGCACUUUUUAAAACACCCAUCUGCAAGGCGGGAACAGCGGAGAAAGUGCUGUGUAGUUCAUAAAAAAAGAUAUUGGCAGAGUGUAUCUUAAGAGUUUUUCCAGAGAUUGUUUAGUAAUCUCUCAAUUUAGAGAGUUGAUAUGUCCCGCGCCAUCAGGCCGCUGAAUGGGAUCUUCCUUCCGACAGGGACUGAGAAACGGAAAUACCACCCUCCAGCCAAUCUGUUGGGAGGACUGCUUGCAGGGGACUCGAGCCCCAGAUAUUGCACUAGAGGCGCUGCAAGUGUGAGCAGGUAGAUGAAAGUCAAGAGAAAAGGUGUGGAUAAAUGAAACUAGCCCAUGAUAAGCCUGUUUUCUCCGUGACCACAAUAUGAACCAGGAUGAUGGUGGUGGCAGUGGGCUUGCAUCACAGGUUGCAGCAGAUGUUCUCAAUAUCUCUAUUAAAAUUUCCUUAUUUCCGUAUGUGAGAGGAGCUCCAGAGCCGCAUCCUUAUGGUAGCUACCAUGCCGUGUGUUACCAAACAACAAUUUGUCUUAAACUUUGUUUUAUGAGACGUUAUUGGGAUCUUGAACCAUGA